UCCUAGCUGUAAACGAUGAGCACUAGGUUGGAGGCUCCUCCAUAGGCUUCCGACCGAAGCGAAAGUGUUAAGUGCUCCGCCUGGGGAGUAUGGUCGCAAGGCUGAAACUCAAAGGAAUUGGACGGGGGCUCACACAAGCGGUGGAGGAUGUGGCUUAAUUCGAGGAUACGCGAAGAACCUUAUCCUGGUCUUGACAUGUGCGGAUGGGCUGCCUGAAAGG
This 220-nucleotide ribosomal RNA is filed under the name uncultured bacterium. RNAcentral's name for it is "partial 16S ribosomal RNA". It matches the Rfam family "Bacterial small subunit ribosomal RNA", at positions 794 to 1008 of the family's 1533-position model. The record is from RNAcentral.